GACAACGCCGCGGACUGACGGAAUAGUCCGUUAAAGGGUGUAGAUGUUGAUUAUCCCAGGCAAAUCCGGGAUAAGAGUCGAACCUGACAGUAUACCAAUUUCCCCGGAAAACGGUAAUAGUGCGUGUAAACAUACUCCCAAGAAAAUCCGCUAAACUUAAUCUUAUAGGUACCCGUACCGUAAACGGACACACGUAGUCGGGUUGAA
RNAcentral lists this ribosomal RNA (207 nucleotides) under Bacteroides fragilis. RNAcentral's name for it is "partial 23S ribosomal RNA". It matches the Rfam family "Bacterial large subunit ribosomal RNA", at positions 1481 to 1676 of the family's 2925-position model. The record is from RNAcentral. Lineage: Bacteria; Pseudomonadati; Bacteroidota; Bacteroidia; Bacteroidales; Bacteroidaceae.